This is a long non-coding RNA of Sphaeramia orbicularis (orbiculate cardinalfish), 239 nucleotides long. RefSeq lists it as uncharacterized. The transcript has 3 exons. The record is from RefSeq and is a predicted model, not a curated record. Lineage: Eukaryota; Metazoa; Chordata; Actinopteri; Kurtiformes; Apogonidae.
AACAUACUUACUUCCGUAAACACAGUGCGCCUGCGUGAUCAAGUAUUACAUCAGGACGUCUUUUGCACAUGCGGGUCACUUCAGGGUCACAUUCAGUUCAUACUCAAAACUGAUAGAAGUCGCAUUUAAUGUGUAAUAUGAAUGAGCACACAAAAAAGUCGGAUUUCCCCCAAAAAUUUGAAUUGUGAAUUAAGACCUGCUGUCUGAAUGUAGCCCUAGAUUUAUUGGAUUUUACUAUU